Molecule: ribosomal RNA, 131 nt
Filed under: Vibrio parahaemolyticus
Lineage: Bacteria; Pseudomonadati; Pseudomonadota; Gammaproteobacteria; Vibrionales; Vibrionaceae
Description: partial 16S ribosomal RNA
Rfam family: Bacterial small subunit ribosomal RNA
Source: RNAcentral
AAAUUGAAGAGUUUGAUCAUGGCUCAGAUUGAACGCUGGCGGCAGGCCUAACACAUGCAAGUCGAGCGGAAACGAGUUAUCAGAACCUUCGGGGAACGAUAACGGCGUCGAGCGGCGGACGGGUGAGUAAU